Molecule: ribosomal RNA, 492 nt
Filed under: uncultured bacterium
Lineage: Bacteria
Description: partial 16S ribosomal RNA
Rfam family: Bacterial small subunit ribosomal RNA
Source: RNAcentral
AGUGAACGCUGGCGGUAGGCCUAACACAUGCAAGUCGAACGGCAGCACAGUAAGAGCUUGCUCUUACGGGUGGCGAGUGGCGGACGGGUGAGGAAUACAUCGGAAUCUACUUUUUCGUGGGGGAUAACGUAGGGAAACUUACGCUAAUACCGCAUACGACCUACGGGUGAAAGCAGGGGAUCUUCGGACCUUGCGCGAUUGAAUGAGCCGAUGUCGGAUUAGCUAGUUGGCGGGGUAAAGGCCCACCAAGGCGACGAUCCGUAGCUGGUCUGAGAGGAUGAGGAGCCACACUGGAACUGAGACACGGUCCGGACUCCUACGGGAGGCAGCAGUGGGGAAUAUUGGACAAUGGGCGCAAGCUUGAUCCAGCCAUACCGCGUGGGUGAAGAAGGCCUUGGGGUUGUAAAGCCCUUUUGUUGGGAAAGAAAAGCAGCAGGUUAAUACCCCGCUGUUCUGACGGUACCCAAAGAAUAAGCACCGGCUAACUUCGUG